This 264-nucleotide ribosomal RNA is filed under the name uncultured Ascomycota. Its description in RNAcentral is "partial 18S ribosomal RNA". It matches the Rfam family "Eukaryotic small subunit ribosomal RNA", at positions 619 to 888 of the family's 1831-position model. The record is from RNAcentral. Lineage: Eukaryota; Fungi; Ascomycota.
UUAAAAAGCUCGUAGUUGAACCUUGGGCCUAGCCGGCCGGUCCGCCUCACCGCGUGCACUGGCUCGGCUGGGCCUUUCCUCCUGGAGAACCGCAUGCCCUUCACUGGGCGUGCUGGGGAACCAGGACUUUUACUCUGGACAAAUUAGAUCGCUUAAAGAAGGCCUAUGCUCGAAUACAUUAGCAUGGAAUAAUAGAAUAGGACGUGUGGUUCUAUUUUGUUGGUUUCUAGGACCGCCGUAAUGAUUAAUAGGGACAGUCGGGGG